This 1364-nucleotide ribosomal RNA is filed under the name Escherichia coli KTE176. RNAcentral's name for it is "bacterial LSU rRNA". It matches the Rfam family "Bacterial large subunit ribosomal RNA", at positions 1476 to 2818 of the family's 2925-position model. Lineage: Bacteria; Pseudomonadati; Pseudomonadota; Gammaproteobacteria; Enterobacterales; Enterobacteriaceae. The record is from RNAcentral.
AGAAGGCUAUGUUGGCCGGGCGACGGUUGUCCCGGUUUAAGCGUGUAGGCUGGUUUUCCAGGCAAAUCCGGAAAACCAAGGCUGAGGCGUGAUGACGAGGCACUACGGUGCUGAAGCGACAAAUGCCCUGCUUCCAGGAAAAGCCUCUAAGCAUCAGGUAACAUCAAAUCGUACCCCAAACCGACACAGGUGGUCAGGUAGAGAAUACCAAGGCGCUUGAGAGAACUCGGGUGAAGGAACUAGGCAAAAUGGUGCCGUAACUUCGGGAGAAGGCACGCUGAUAUGUAGGUGAAGCGACUUGCUCGUGGAGCUGAAAUCAGUCGAAGAUACCAGCUGGCUGCAACUGUUUAUUAAAAACACAGCACUGUGCAAACACGAAAGUGGACGUAUACGGUGUGACGCCUGCCCGGUGCCGGAAGGUUAAUUGAUGGGGUUAGCGGUAACGCGAAGCUCUUGAUCGAAGCCCCGGUAAACGGCGGCCGUAACUAUAACGGUCCUAAGGUAGCGAAAUUCCUUGUCGGGUAAGUUCCGACCUGCACGAAUGGCGUAAUGAUGGCCAGGCUGUCUCCACCCGAGACUCAGUGAAAUUGAACUCGCUGUGAAGAUGCAGUGUACCCGCGGCAAGACGGAAAGACCCCGUGAACCUUUACUAUAGCUUGACACUGAACAUUGAGCCUUGAUGUGUAGGAUAGGUGGGAGGCUUUGAAGUGUGGACGCCAGUCUGCAUGGAGCCGACCUUGAAAUACCACCCUUUAAUGUUUGAUGUUCUAACGUUGGCCCGUAAUCCGGGUUGCGGACAGUGUCUGGUGGGUAGUUUGACUGGGGCGGUCUCCUCCUAAAGAGUAACGGAGGAGCACGAAGGUUGGCUAAUCCUGGUCGGACAUCAGGAGGUUAGUGCAAUGGCAUAAGCCAGCUUGACUGCGAGCGUGACGGCGCGAGCAGGUGCGAAAGCAGGUCAUAGUGAUCCGGUGGUUCUGAAUGGAAGGGCCAUCGCUCAACGGAUAAAAGGUACUCCGGGGAUAACAGGCUGAUACCGCCCAAGAGUUCAUAUCGACGGCGGUGUUUGGCACCUCGAUGUCGGCUCAUCACAUCCUGGGGCUGAAGUAGGUCCCAAGGGUAUGGCUGUUCGCCAUUUAAAGUGGUACGCGAGCUGGGUUUAGAACGUCGUGAGACAGUUCGGUCCCUAUCUGCCGUGGGCGCUGGAGAACUGAGGGGGGCUGCUCCUAGUACGAGAGGACCGGAGUGGACGCAUCACUGGUGUUCGGGUUGUCAUGCCAAUGGCACUGCCCGGUAGCUAAAUGCGGAAGAGAUAAGUGCUGAAAGCAUCUAAGCACGAAACUUGCCCCGAGAUGAGUUCUCCCUGA